Molecule: non-coding RNA, 210 nt
Organism: Arvicanthis niloticus (Nile rat)
Lineage: Eukaryota; Metazoa; Chordata; Mammalia; Rodentia; Muridae
Source: RefSeq, a predicted model, not a curated record
AAGACUAUACUUUCAGGGAUCAUUUCUAUAGUUUGUUACUAGAGAAGUUUCUCUGACUGUGUAGAGCACCUGAAACCACGAGGAAGAGAUGUAGCAUUCUCUCCUGAGAGUGAAGCCACUCUUAGUGUUGCUUUUUGCAACUGCUGCUUGCCAUUGAUGAUUGUUCUUGAUCCUCUUUGAGGGUAAAGAGGGAGAGAACACAGUAUGAGU